UGGACUGAUGAUGACCACCGGUGGCAUAUGAGCUGUCCAUGAUGGAUGCAUGUCUGAAACUCUGAGGUCCAG
Jaculus jaculus (lesser Egyptian jerboa) is the source of this 72-nucleotide small nucleolar RNA. The record is from Ensembl. Lineage: Eukaryota; Metazoa; Chordata; Mammalia; Rodentia; Dipodidae.